AUCUUGUAUCUUCAGGAAUUUUAGAAAAAGUGAAUGCGGAUAUUUCAUCUAAACUCAUAGAUGCCAUCAUGAAAUAGUGAUUUGAAAUUUUAUCAAUUUGUUCAGAAUUCCAAACUAUUGUUUAUCAUUGACUGAGAAUUGUGUAUUACCGGUAUUCUUUAGAAAUGUGCCAGUAAGAAUAAAGUGAAUAAACAUUUAUAAACAGCAUGUGAUGAUAAUUUAUACUGGAAGGUGUUUGAAUUGCAAUAGAAGUAGAAUGUAAAGUCAACAUAUGAAAAUUCAUACUGGUGAAAAUAUGAGAAUGCAGUAAGAAUCUGACAAUUCAUACUGAUACAAUAAGAAACUAAUGAAUAUUCCUAGGAAAUAGUGUUGACAAUUCAUACUGGAGAAAAUACUGAAGAAUUGAUAUGGAAUUUAACUAUUGAUUAUUCAUAGUGGAGAAAAUUCCCGAGAAUUCAUGUGGAAUUUAAGUCUAAUGAAAACAAUUCAUAUGGAAUUAUGUGUAAACGCUUGUAAACAUAAGAUUAUUUUACCUUUUGUACGUUAAAUAUAUUUUAUUUUAUUUUAAAUUGUAGGGACACAAUUUUUUUUCAGGGGAGAGCAGAAGUAGCAUUUGAUAUAUAAUGUAAAGUUUAUGUAUAUUUAUAAUUAUUUUCAGUAACAGCUGAUGUGCCUGAAAGCAGACUGUAUUUUAUGAAUGUUCAUUAAUGAUAAUGUCAUUAUGUUAUUUAAACAUUCAUUAUGUUAUAUCUUGAUGAAGAUGUUUAAUGUUAAAUGACGAGACGUCAUUUUCCAAGGAGCAGGAGUGUGUAGCAGGGUCAUAUUUUUGUAUGACAGUAUUAUGAAACGUGUCAGCUCUUUCCGGUGUUUUAUUUCUUUAGGUUUUGAUAAGUUCUUGCUGGUCUUUUAUUUUCUUGUUUUCUGUGUGAUCUCGCGAGAGUUUGGCGGGAAUGUUGUGCAGGUUUUGAAAAGAGUUUACAUGGUUGAUGUAGAGAACAUUCUGUUAAUUUGAACUUGUUUAUAUGAUUUACAUUUGGUUGAGCUAUCCAAGUGUUUGUGAGAAGUAUUUAAGUUAACCAUCACGUGAGACAGGAUGUAUGUGAUGUGAAGUGAAGUGCUAUAGAUUCUAAUUUGUCAUUGGUUUAUUGUGGAAUAGGCUUAAGAUCCCAUAGAUCUUGCCUUGAUUAAAGUUAACUUCAACAGAGAAGAUAUAUUGUAUAUUCGUCAUGACAUGAUAUUGACUGUAUAUGUAGAUUGGAAACAAUAAAUGAAUAACCACAUCUACCCUGUGUUAUAACACCAUGUGUUACAUUAUU
Ruditapes philippinarum (Manila clam) is the source of this 1316-nucleotide long non-coding RNA. RefSeq lists it as uncharacterized. The transcript is spliced from 3 exons. NCBI's taxonomy places the organism in Eukaryota, Metazoa, Mollusca, Bivalvia, Venerida, Veneridae. The record is from RefSeq and is a predicted model, not a curated record.